Molecule: unclassified non-coding RNA, 240 nt
Filed under: soil metagenome
Description: partial contains 5.8S ribosomal RNA, internal transcribed spacer 2, and large subunit ribosomal RNA
Source: RNAcentral
AACCAUAGAAACCUGCGGAGUACCUGCGGAAGGAUCAUUAACACUAUGAAAAGUCAGAGUGGGCGCCCCAAAAGGCGCCUGCCCUGGCUGAUGGACUAAACCUCCAUUACCCCUGCGAACUUUGUUAAAGUCUUUAUGCAGUGAACUCAAUCACUCUGACUGUUUUGUUUCUCUGAAACGUUAAAUAAUGCGUCUGAAGGGAGUAGCAGUAGGGGUGACGAGCCCUGAAAGCGCUUCUUC